This 467-nucleotide ribosomal RNA is filed under the name uncultured bacterium. RNAcentral's name for it is "partial 16S ribosomal RNA". It matches the Rfam family "Bacterial small subunit ribosomal RNA", at positions 28 to 507 of the family's 1533-position model. The record is from RNAcentral.
GACGAACGCUGGCGGCGUGCUUAACACAUGCAAGUCGAACGAUGACGCCCGAGCUUGCUGGGUCUGAUUAGUGGCGAACGGGUGAGUAACACGUGAGCAACCUGCCCUUCACUCUGGGAUAACUUCGGGAAAUUGGGGCUAAUACCGGAUAUGAGCUCCUGCCGCAUGGUGGGGGUUGGAAAGUUUUUCGGUGUAGGAUGGGCCCGCGGCCUAUCAGUUUGUUGGUUGGGUAGUGGCUUACCAAGGCUUUGACGGGUAGCCGGCCUGAGAGGGCGACCGGCCACACUGGGACUGAGACACGGCCCAGACUCCUACGGGAGGCAGCAGUGGGGAAUAUUGCACAAUGGGCGGAAGCCUGAUGCAGCGACGCCGCGUGAGGGAUGACGGCCUUCGGGUUGUAAACCUCUUUCGGCAGGGAAGAAGCGAAAGUGACGGUACCUGCAGAAGAAGCGCCGGCUAACUACGUG